Molecule: long non-coding RNA, 1265 nt
Organism: Macadamia integrifolia
Lineage: Eukaryota; Viridiplantae; Streptophyta; Magnoliopsida; Proteales; Proteaceae
Exons: 2
Source: RefSeq, a predicted model, not a curated record
GACCUACUUCCUCCUCCCCUCUCCUCUCCCACCUCUUCUCCUUCCUUCUUCACAAAGGCCGCACCCUCCCUCCUGCCAUCAGGAUACAGUUCCUCUAUAGUUCUUUCAUAGUGCAAUUAGUUGCAAUGCUAGGUGCAACUCAUGACAACUGUCUAAGGCCACUUGGUAGGUAAGGAUGAGGAGAGAGAAAUGCUCUGCAAAAGAGGGACAUCUAGUUCUAGUUUUGACCCAAAACCACCCAGAUCCAUCCGAAGUACGUCCUGAUCUCCGGCUCUACAAGAAGAUUUCUUCUCGGACUGCAAGUGCAUUCUGAUCUGCAGUGGUUCCAGAUUUGCAGUGAAUUCAUCUUGGCCCCAUCCAACACCAAGGUUUGGGAUUCUAGGGGGGUCGUCCAAUUUGGUUGUGGAAAUGACCAGAGAGGAAUAUAAGAGGGCUGAGCAAUCUCUGUCAAUGUCGUCGUUGCCAUCAUUAUGAAUGUGAAGUAGGUCAUUGAAGGAGAGACUUGUUAAAGGAUUUUCAAUGAAAUUGAAAUACAAUCAGAAAACUUCGUCAAAUGGUGGAGAUCUGAUCGGAGCUGAACUUGAAGUUUGGGUUGACGGCAGUGGCGAGGGCACCCAUCUCUUCGCGAUUGAGGCCUCUGUCACCGUUGGUGUCAAAUCUGUCAAAAGAUUGAACGGACUUUUGUCUGUUCUUGUCAUCACCGUCUUGGACGUCGAUCUCUUUGAUGAAGCAAUUAGAGAUUUAGAGUUUGUCUGUGCUGAUGAGAGAGAGAGAGAGAGAGAGAGAAAGGAGGAAUUUGGAUUGGAUUGUGAGGGAAUAGAGACAUGUUUCAGCAUUUCAAAAAAAAAAAGCAAGGGUUUUUGAUCAGGGAUGAUAGAUCACGAGGGAUAGAGGAUUUGGAUGGCUUUGUGAGAGAGCCAGAUCCGCCAAGAUGCAUACGCUUUCUCUCUCUCUCGAUCUUAGUCGUCCACAUUAGCAUUUUCACCUCAAUUCUUUAAGGGUCUUGGGGUUGCAGGUUGGGGUGGAGUUGCAGGAGGGAGGGUUCAGCCUUUGUGGAGGGAGAAGUGGCGGAAGAGGAGAGGGGAGUUGGAAGUAGGUCCAUACGCCAUUAAAAAUGAAUUGAAUAAGAAUAAAAGAAUUGAGGUUGGGGUAUUUUAGGAAAGUUACUUUUAUUUCUUUCUUGUAGUGCAUGAGUAAUUACUAAUUCUAGGGAUUGAGUAAAUAUUUUCUAAGUUGAAACUAGUCAAUGUAAAAUAAAUUUGAAA